This 1471-nucleotide ribosomal RNA is filed under the name Streptococcus thermophilus. RNAcentral's name for it is "16S ribosomal RNA". It matches the Rfam family "Bacterial small subunit ribosomal RNA". The record is from RNAcentral. Lineage: Bacteria; Bacillati; Bacillota; Bacilli; Lactobacillales; Streptococcaceae.
AACGCUGGCGGCGUGCCUAAUACAUGCAAGUAGAACGCUGAAGAGAGGAGCUUGCUCUUCUUGGAUGAGUUGCGAACGGGUGAGUAACGCGUAGGUAACCUGCCUUGUAGCGGGGGAUAACUAUUGGAAACGAUAGCUAAUACCGCAUAACAAUGGAUGACACAUGUCAUUUAUUUGAAAGGGGCAAUUGCUCCACUACAAGAUGGACCUGCGUUGUAUUAGCUAGUAGGUGAGGUAAUGGCUCACCUAGGCGACGAUACAUAGCCGACCUGAGAGGGUGAUCGGCCACACUGGGACUGAGACACGGCCCAGACUCCUACGGGAGGCAGCAGUAGGGAAUCUUCGGCAAUGGGGGCAACCCUGACCGAGCAACGCCGCGUGAGUGAAGAAGGUUUUCGGAUCGUAAAGCUCUGUUGUAAGUCAAGAACGGGUGUGAGAGUGGAAAGUUCACACUGUGACGGUAGCUUACCAGAAAGGGACGGCUAACUACGUGCCAGCAGCCGCGGUAAUACGUAGGUCCCGAGCGUUGUCCGGAUUUAUUGGGCGUAAAGCGAGCGCAGGCGGUUUGAUAAGUCUGAAGUUAAAGGCUGUGGCUCAACCAUAGUUCGCUUUGGAAACUGUCAAACUUGAGUGCAGAAGGGGAGAGUGGAAUUCCAUGUGUAGCGGUGAAAUGCGUAGAUAUAUGGAGGAACACCGGUGGCGAAAGCGGCUCUCUGGUCUGUAACUGACGCUGAGGCUCGAAAGCGUGGGGAGCGAACAGGAUUAGAUACCCUGGUAGUCCACGCCGUAAACGAUGAGUGCUAGGUGUUGGAUCCUUUCCGGGAUUCAGUGCCGCAGCUAACGCAUUAAGCACUCCGCCUGGGGAGUACGACCGCAAGGUUGAAACUCAAAGGAAUUGACGGGGGCCCGCACAAGCGGUGGAGCAUGUGGUUUAAUUCGAAGCAACGCGAAGAACCUUACCAGGUCUUGACAUCCCGAUGCUAUUUCUAGAGAUAGAAAGUUACUUCGGUACAUCGGUGACAGGUGGUGCAUGGUUGUCGUCAGCUCGUGUCGUGAGAUGUUGGGUUAAGUCCCGCAACGAGCGCAACCCCUAUUGUUAGUUGCCAUCAUUCAGUUGGGCACUCUAGCGAGACUGCCGGUAAUAAACCGGAGGAAGGUGGGGAUGACGUCAAAUCAUCAUGCCCCUUAUGACCUGGGCUACACACGUGCUACAAUGGUUGGUACAACGAGUUGCGAGUCGGUGACGGCGAGCUAAUCUCUUAAAGCCAAUCUCAGUUCGGAUUGUAGGCUGCAACUCGCCUACAUGAAGUCGGAAUCGCUAGUAAUCGCGGAUCAGCACGCCGCGGUGAAUACGUUCCCGGGCCUUGUACACACCGCCCGUCACACCACGAGAGUUUGUAACACCCGAAGUCGGUGAGGUAACCUUUUGGAGCCAGCCGCCUAAGGUGGGACAGAUGAUUGGGGUGAAGUC